This 73-nucleotide transfer RNA is filed under the name Ictidomys tridecemlineatus (thirteen-lined ground squirrel). Its description in RNAcentral is "Spermophilus tridecemlineatus (thirteen-lined ground squirrel) tRNA". It matches the Rfam family "tRNA". Rfam says of the family: Transfer RNA (tRNA) molecules are approximately 80 nucleotides in length. Lineage: Eukaryota; Metazoa; Chordata; Mammalia; Rodentia; Sciuridae. The record is from Rfam by way of RNAcentral.
GGGGAUAUAGCUCAGUUGGUAGAGCACUUGCCUUGCAUGCACAAGGCCCUGGGUUUGAUCCCCAGCACCCCCC